UGUCAGGUAUAUCCCCUUAGAUGCAGACCCCACUGGGUGGGGUCAGCUUAUGGCUUUUCUUGGGUCCAGGUGUUGCCUGCCAGAAGCUGUGUGGUCAGUCUGUUUUGGGUCCCCCCCCACCCCGAAACAGUCGGGACCUGACUUUCUAAGCACCUGCAGCUGCACACUUGCUGUGGUCUUUGAUGCAUGAACCAAACCUUAAACUGCUAGCUGGCAGCUAAGCCCUCCCCCCCAUGGCCACAUGGCUCCACCUAGCACAUGGCCUGGCAGCCGGCUCCACCCACUUUGGUGAGAGUGGAGCCCCACGCCUGUGGGCCAUGGCCUGGAGCCGGUCUAUCUGCCCUAGCUUGGGAGGUUUCUGGGUCCACGCUGCAGGAGGCAUUUCUACUCAAUCUCCCGCUACCCAGUAGUGCACAGCCUGCUGCUCAUAAACCCCAUUCAAGUGCUUGGUAGCAGGGCCUCUUAAAAGAGCUGUGCCUCUGUAUGCCGUGAGCACCUAGCCUCCUUGCAGCUUUUCCCAGCCUUUUCAGGCCCUGUGCAGAUUUACCUGCUGGACGCUGGGUGACAUUUGCAGCAGUGCUUUUUUGUUGGGACUGCCAGUCUGCAAUAAUGGCAUAGAAGCUUAUUAUUAAUUAUGAAAGCUUGGCCUUUAGCUUAGGCUCGUCUCAACUAGCUUCUAUAACUUAAUUAACCCGUUUAUAUUAAUCUAUGUCCUGCCACAUGGCAUUGCCUCUCUUCCACCUCACACCUCCUGUUUCCUUUCUGUGGCUGUUGACUCCGCCUUUCUUCUUCCUGGAGUUCUGUCUCUGCCCGGAAGUCCCGCCUUAUACCUCCUGCCUAACUUUUGGCCAUUCAGCUUUUUAUUACACCAAUCAUAGCAAUACAUCUUCACACAGUUUACAGAUAUCCCACAACAUUCCUCAUCCCCAGAAGACACUACCUCACUUGCCACUUCCAGAAGGUUCCAUACUCUGCAGGCCUGGUGGUGUCCACCAUCUCCGUAUCCACGGUAUCGUUGUUCCAAUUCCUCUUCCAGGUUAGGGUGAUCUCAGCAGGUGGAAGCCCAGGGCCUAGCAUUUCAGGGUGACAUUCCCUCCAGGUCUGACCUGAUUGGUGGGUCUUAUGUGUUGUAGGGAGUCUGAGGAGAAGAAAUGGGAAAUUUGGACAUUUGACAUUCUUCCUGGGGUUUCAGCUUCUGUGAUCAUCACUGGAAUGAGUGGGGUAUUUGGGAUAGAGGAGGAUACAGCCUCUAUACAGUACAGCAGCCUACAUUCAUGACCUAAACAAUCUAUUCCUUGGAAAGUUUCUGAAUCCUCGUUAGCCAGCACAGAGCAGGAGGCUCUGGGUCUCCCUCUAGGAAAAACAGACUUCUGGUUCUGACUGGGUGGGAUCUGAGAGACUCCACCACAGCGGAGCCAGAACUACAAAGGUAUUGUGUUUGGGUAGAGAUCAGGCCCUAGGGAGGUUAGCUGCAGAUUGAAGGAAACUGCUGGUUGGUAGACAGAUUUUGAACUUUCUUCUGGGAAGGGCAAGUCCUCUGGAGAGUCCUUCUCUUGUGCUGAAUCAGAAAACCCUGGAGCCCUCUCCAACUUCGAUGCAGGAUGGAACCAGUCUUCAAGGUGAUCCCAACAUUUUUCCUCCUUAGGAGAUGUGAGCCCCAGUAAGAGAAAAUGGAGGAAUUUCCUCGUGGCCCCUCUUACCUGUGAGCAGAAACAUCUCAUACCCAGUGCCCGGCGGUGUGUGGAGCAUCUCCAUGCACCUUCUGCAGGACGGGACGCUAUGCACCAUGGGUGGAUCAGCAGGAGCCAGAGUACUGGGAGUGGAGGACACAGCAGGCCCUGAGAGAAACCAAAGUGUUCAUAGAAAGGCUGAAGAAAAUGCUCGAUAUCUACAACCAUAGUGCAACUGUCACCAACAAUUCGAAUUAAACUUCAACCACCACGAUUACAUCACCCUGAACGAGGACCUCAGCACUUGGACCUCCGUUGGCAAGGCAGCUGAGAUGCUCAGGCUUGAGUGGGAGGAGUCAGAUUUUUCACAAGUGGUGAAGACUUACCUGGAGAAGCAAUGUGUGCAGUUGCUCCUUCACAAGUGGACUAUGGGAAGGAGACUUUGCUGAGAACAGGUAAGGACAAAUACUGCCCAUCUGCUCUGAGACUGGAGCCCCUGUUCCCUGAGGAUUCCUCCUCAGCAGGGAGAAGCUGGAAUAAGAACUCAGUCUUGAAUCAAAGCGGGAAGUGUCUCAUGGGUUUUCUAAUUCAAUAAGAGAGGGACUCUCUCAGGGCUAAGCCUUCUGUCAGGACACUUCAGUUUUCCAAUUAAACAGCAAUUCCCUUCCACUUGCUUUGUGGACCACGAGCUCUCUCAGGCCUGUUUCCUGUCCAUGCACUUUGGAGGUCUGAGCCCAGUGUUGCUGAGUCUCCAUCCAGUCAGAACCAGAAGUCCGUAUUCCUAGAGUGAGAUCCAGAGUCUCUUGCUCUGUGCUGGCUCAAGCUGAAUCUGGAACUUUCCAAGGAAUAGUUUACCCCAUUUUUUAUCCUGAGAUUAUGCUGAUGGGUGGGGUCUGUACAACUCCUUCAAGCCAACUGUUCCAUCCAUUAAA
This is a non-coding RNA of Peromyscus maniculatus bairdii (prairie deer mouse), 2602 nucleotides long. The record is from RefSeq and is a predicted model, not a curated record. Lineage: Eukaryota; Metazoa; Chordata; Mammalia; Rodentia; Cricetidae.